AAACAAACUCACUCCAGUUCAGCUGCUCUGGCGGAGGAACGGGUCCUGAGAGCCGACCCUUCCAAGGCCCGUGGUGGCAGGUGCUGCUGUCGUCCGUCCUUGGGACUCACGAAUGUCCUUAUUGAAAACAAUCAGAAGCUUCAGAGAUUUUAAAUAAAUAUCACUAAUUUAUUCAAUGGAAUCCUGUAAGUCCUGAGAUGAUCAGUAAACACGGGAAUGAAAUCACCCCAGUUAACCGUUAACUACCUCAAUGGUCUAGUGGCAGACUCGGCUUCCGGUUCUGCGGGGAAAAGAAAUCGUGCUUCCCGGAAGAAAACUCCUCUCUUGCACUUUAAACCAGAGCUCCUAUUUGCAGGGAGAGGCAAGGCAGCAAACUUCUCAGACGUUUCCCGUAGAUUUAAUCUUGAGACAGUCAUCCCCUCUCCCACCAGUGUGGCCUAUAUUACCAGAAGAAGGCUAGAGAGGAGGUGCUGGAAGAAAACCAGUCCCCUUGAAGAAGAUGUCCCUGGGUGGAGGUGGAUGGCCGCCACCGCAUCACAGUCUUCUUUCACACAAAUCCAGGUUCUCGUCCCUGUGUGAAGUUGUGCUGCCUAAGGAAAGGCCUGAGGGGGCUGGAGCACUCUGUGUGUCUCUAGACCUAAACAGAUGACACACUUGUUGGAGGAGGUCAGGGGAAAGCACUGACAGCAGCUUCGAUCCAGAGAUGAAUUUCCCCAUCGAGGCCUCGGGAGGAGACCUCCAGGAGCAUGAAGCGCCUCAGCAGCCAGGCAGAGGGGUCAGCACCCAUCAGAAGGGCCGGAGGAAAUGACCUGAAGACUAACCCACUGUCUUCGGAAGCAGAGUCUCUGUCAGGGCAAGGCUGGAAUCAAAUGUCGGUGGGAACCAACAGAAGAGAAGCAGAGGCAGAGCCAGCCGCCCUGGUCCCAGCAGGCGCCCACGGAGCGGAGCCUGAUGCUAGCCUUGCAGUGCGAUUUUCUUGAGGAGCUUAAGAAAUGCCAGGUGUGUUCAACCCACACCCCAGGAGCCCAGCGGGCCGUCCCGGAACCAAACUACACAACUGGUGACAUCUGGCAUUGGGUGUUCAGACUUGGCCCCUCCUUGGUGACCUUCUCCACUUUCACGGUGACCUUCAUGUGAGAAAGAAUCUGAUGGCAACUCUUUACUCCUUGGAGAGAAAAACAGUUAUCCGUGCGUCUACUCUAUGUGGAGAGUUUAAUGUUUAACCCUUUUCUCAAUAUGGAAAAGAAACACGUCCCUCAUUAAAGAAAUUUCAAAUACUAUUGACCUGGUGGAAGCAUUGAGAAGCGGGGAUGAUAUUAGGUUGUAUGGGCAGCCACCUAACUCGCCUUUGUCCAAACCCAGCUGAGCCGGCAGCUUCUAUUUCUUUGGUGGUUGUUAACGAUGUUACCCCUGGACCCAAAUAUGUGUGUGUGUGUGAGAGAGAGAUUGGCUGGUUGGAGGCAAGGAGUGAGGCAGAAGACCGAAGGGUGAGUGGGGAAGUAUGUCUAAUCCUUCCUCAAACAGGACAGCAAGCUUCUCAAAAAAUAACCCUUACCCUGGACGCUGAGCGUCCAUCAUCAAGGAGUCACUCACCUCCAGGAAAAAGAUGAAGGCCACCUUUGUUCUCUCCACGUCUGCCUCAAUUCCAGCAAUUGCCUUGUACUUGGGAAAUAAGUGCAGAGAAAAAAGUCAAGACUAUCCACAAGACACGUUGACACUGAACAUUUAAACAAUGGAAGCUCUUCUCUCAAGCAAGAAAGCGAACUUGGAACCGAGUUCUUUAAACUGACCACGUGAGAUCAUCAGGUUCACCCAGCGACGCUCUCCCACUGUAACACUUUGCCUUGCUUGCACAGGAUUGAGUGGGUCCAGUACCACAGACGACUGGACCAGAAGCUACUCUGUGCCUUAUAGAUUUCACAUGUUAGAAAGAAGCAGCCACAAUUAAUGGCCCUCAGACAUCUUAAGCAUCACCACCUUGUCCUUUGAGCUAGAACUCUGGACCAAGCUGCUUCCGCGCUGAUUUCGAUCCCCCCAAGUAAUUGGACCCUUUCUGAGAGCCUCGGGAAAUCACUGUUCAAGUUCCUUACAUCCUUCUAGGGGUUAUGUGGAUUUUUUUAUUAGUUCUAAUUCGUAUAGUACUCUGAAAUUUUGAAGCAAUUUGAAGCAUGUUCUAGGUCGUUUAGAACUGAAGGAAUUAGAAAAUAUGAAGUCGGGGAGUGCCCACAGCGUAAGGAGCUGCAGACCGGAGGUGCAGGCUGUUGGGACACCUUGGUGAGGAACCAGAGGGCGAGAUGCUAGGAUUAUAGACUCUGGUUGGAAACGCAAGGAAAAAGCUCAUGACAAAGGAAGAAGAGAUGACAUCACACUGCUGAAAGACCAAGGAAAGCCGUGUCUCUAGGAGGUCCCGCCGGCCCCCCAGCAUCUUCCCCUCUGAGACCCUUUCCCAUCUGUGCUUCCAGGCCCAGGUGGUGCCAGAACUCAAGGCAACGCUCCUACAGGCCUGACCUCCCAACACCAACCUUCAGGACGGGAGCUUCCCACAGCUCCCCAGGUCCGGCUUCGGCGCUAAGUAGAGCUUUAAAUCCUAGGGAUCAGCAGGUAGACGAAGUAAGUAGCAUCUUACAGAAGGGUGUGAAGACGCACAUCAAAAUCUCCUUUCAUCUCGGAAGGAUAACUGAUGUUAUGCCUUCCCCUUCCUGAGAGCUGAGCAGAAGAGUUGGGGCGCUGUGUGUUUCACAGGGGAAAAAAGAGCAACAAUUACAGACUGAAAUAAUCCCAGUAAACAAUUAUUUGAUAAAAUUAUGAAUAUACAUAGAUUUUCAACUCAUGUAUCAUAAGAUUAUUAAAGUGCCGGAAUUUUGAAUAGUAUAACAGACAAUGGAGGAUAUUCAGAAGUUCAGAUAAAUAAAAACAAUCAUUUUCCUUGGCAGUGGCACAUGGUUCAGUAAAUACAUGGGAGCAGGGAGACA
Long non-coding RNA from Equus caballus (horse), 2972 nucleotides. Lineage: Eukaryota; Metazoa; Chordata; Mammalia; Perissodactyla; Equidae. The record is from Ensembl.